UACAGGGGGGGCAAGCGUUGUUCGGAAUUACUGGGCGUAAAGGGCUCGUAGGUGGCCAACUAAGUCAGACGUGAAAUCCCUCAGCUUAACUGGGGAACUGCGUCUGAUACUGGAUGGCUUGAGUUUGGGAGAGGGAUGCGGAAUUCCAGGUGUAGCGGUGAAAUGCGUAGAUAUCUGGAGGAACACCGGUGGCGAAGGCGGCAUCCUGGACCGGCAUUGACGCUGAGGCGCGAAAGCCAGGGGAGCAAACGGG
RNAcentral lists this ribosomal RNA (253 nucleotides) under uncultured bacterium. Its description in RNAcentral is "partial 16S ribosomal RNA". It matches the Rfam family "Bacterial small subunit ribosomal RNA", at positions 524 to 776 of the family's 1533-position model. The record is from RNAcentral.